This 497-nucleotide ribosomal RNA is filed under the name uncultured bacterium. Its description in RNAcentral is "partial 16S ribosomal RNA". It matches the Rfam family "Bacterial small subunit ribosomal RNA", at positions 28 to 507 of the family's 1533-position model. The record is from RNAcentral.
GACGAACGCUGGCGGCGUGCCUAAUACAUGCAAGUAGAACGCUGAAGCGAGGAGCUUGCUCUUCUUGGAUGAGUUGCGAACGGGUGAGUAACGCGUAGGUAACCUGCCUUGUAGCGGGGGAUAACUAUUGGAAACGAUAGCUAAUACCGCAUAACAAUGGAUGACACAUGUCAUUUAUUUGAAAGGGGCAAUUGCUCCACUACAAGAUGGACCUGCGUUGUAUUAGCUAGUAGGUGAGGUAAUGGCUCACCUAGGCGACGAUACAUAGCCGACCUGAGAGGGUGAUCGGCCAAACUGGGACUGAGACACGGCCCAGACUCCUACGGGAGGCAGCAGUAGGGAAUCUUCGGCAAUGGGGGCAACCCUGACCGAGCAACGCCGCGUGAGUGAAGAAGGUUUUCGGAUCGUAAAGCUCUGUUGUAAGUCAAGAACGGGUUUGAGAGUGGAAAGUUCACACUGUGACGGUAGCUUACCAGAAAGGGACGGCUAACUACGUG